This 499-nucleotide ribosomal RNA is filed under the name uncultured bacterium. RNAcentral describes it as "bacterial SSU rRNA". It matches the Rfam family "Bacterial small subunit ribosomal RNA", at positions 899 to 1397 of the family's 1533-position model. The record is from RNAcentral.
ACUCAAAGGAAUUGACGGGGGCCCGCACAAGCGGUGGAGCAUGUGGUUCAAUUCGACGCAACGCGAAGAACCUUACCUGGGCUCGAACGGCUACCGAUUGUUCUUGGAAACAGGGACUUUCCCGCAAGGGACGCGUAGUCGAGGUGCUGCAUGGCUGUCGUCAGCUCGUGUCGUGAGAUGUUGGGUUAAGUCCCGCAACGAGCGCAACCCUUGUCCUGUGUUGCUAGCCGCAAGGCGCACUCUCAGGAGACCGCCAGCGAUAAGCUGGAGGAAGGUGGGGAUGACGUCAAGUCAUCAUGGCCUUUAUGUCCAGGGCUACACACGUGCUACAAUGGCUGGUACAGAGCGUUGCCAACCCGCGAGGGGGAGCUAAUCGCAAAAAGCCAGUCCCAGUUCGGAUCGCAGGCUGCAACCCGCCUGCGUGAAGCUGGAAUCGCUAGUAAUGGCGUAUCAGAAUGACGCCGUGAAUACGUUCCCGGGCCUUGUACACACCGCCCGU